GAUGAAGAACGUAGUGAAACGCGAUAUGUAAUGUGAAUUGCAGAAUUCAGUGAAUCAUCGAAUCUUUGAACGCACAUGGCGCCUUCCAGUAUCCUGGGAGGCAUGCCUGUCCGAGCGUCGUUUCAACCCUCGAGCCCCCGUGGCCCGGCGUUGGGGAUCUGCCCAGGCAGUCCCCGAAAACCAGUGGCAGACCCGUUACAGGCCCUUCCCUUGCGUAGUAGCAUUCGCCUCGCAUCGGGAGCCGGCGGGCUUCCAGCCUCUAAACCCCCAUCAAGUCCGCCCCGGCGGCACCAAGGUUGACCUCGGAUCAGGUAGGAAUACCCGCUGAACUUAAGCAUAUCAAUAAGCGGAGGA
This 354-nucleotide unclassified non-coding RNA is filed under the name soil metagenome. RNAcentral's name for it is "partial contains 5.8S ribosomal RNA, internal transcribed spacer 2, and large subunit ribosomal RNA". The stretch from base 1 to 120 matches the Rfam family "5.8S ribosomal RNA", at positions 35 to 154 of the family's 154-position model. The record is from RNAcentral.